GACGAACGCUGGCGGCGUGCUUAACACAUGCAAGUCGAACGGUGAAGCCCUUCGGGGUGGCUCAGUUGCGAACGGGCGAGUAGCACGUUAACAACCGGCCCCUGUCCCUGGGACAACCGCUGGAAACGGUGGCUAAUACGGGAUUAGACCCGCCUCGCCAUCGAGUGUGGGUGGAAGGUUUUUCGGCUGGGGAUGGGCUCGCGGCCUAUCAGCUUGGUGGUGAGGUGAAGGCGCACCAAGGCGACGACGGGUAGCCGGCCUGAGAGGGCGACCGGCCACACUGGGACUGAGACACGGCCCAGACUCCUACGGGAGGCAGCAGUGGGGAAUAUUGCACAAUGGGCGAAAGCCGGAUGCAGCGACUCCGCGUGGGGGAUGACGGCCUUCGGGUUGUAAACCUCUUUCAGCUCCGAAGAAGCGAAAGUGACGGUAGGAGCAGAAGAAGCACCGGCUAACUACGUG
Molecule: ribosomal RNA, 462 nt
Filed under: uncultured bacterium
Lineage: Bacteria
Description: partial 16S ribosomal RNA
Rfam family: Bacterial small subunit ribosomal RNA
Source: RNAcentral